RNAcentral lists this ribosomal RNA (450 nucleotides) under uncultured cyanobacterium. RNAcentral describes it as "bacterial SSU rRNA". It matches the Rfam family "Bacterial small subunit ribosomal RNA", at positions 28 to 524 of the family's 1533-position model. Lineage: Bacteria; Bacillati; Cyanobacteriota. The record is from RNAcentral.
GAUGAACGCUGGCGGUAUGCUUAACACAUGCAAGUCGAACGGUACCUUCGGGUAUAGUGGCGGACGGGUGAGUAACGCGUGAGAAUCUGUCUUCAGGUCGGGGACAACAGUUAGAAAUGACUGCUAAUACCGGAUGUGCCGAGAGGUAAAAGAUUUAUUGCCUGAAAGAGAGCUCGCGUCAGAUUAGCUAGUAGGUGGUGUAAGAGACUACCUAGGCGACGAUCUGUAGCUGGUCUGAGAGGACGAUCAGCCACACUGGAACUGAGACACGGUCCAGACUCCUACGGGAGGCAGCAGUGGGGGAAUUUUCCGCAAUGGGCGAAAGCCUGACGGAGCAAUACCGCGUGAGGGACGAAGGCUUUUGGGUCGUAAACCUCUUUUAUUAGGGAAGAUAAUGACGGUACCUAAUGAAUAAGCAUCGGCUAACUCUGUGCCAGCAGCCGCGGUAAU